AUACGGAGGAUCCGAGCGUUAUCCGGAUUUAUUGGGUUUAAAGGGUGCGCAGGCGGGAGAUUAAGUCGGCGGUGAAAUUUUGCAGCUCAACUGUAAAAGUGCCUUCGAAACUGGUUUCCUUGAGUGUAGAUGAAGUAAGCGGAAUUUGUGGUGUAGCGGUGAAAUGCAUAGAUAUCACGAGGAACUCCGAUUGCGCAGGCAGCUUACUAAACUACUACUGGCGCUCAGGCACGAAUGCGUGGGGAUCAAACAGGAUUAGAUGCCGUGGUAGUCCACGCAGUAAACGAUGAUUACUGGCUGUUUGCGAUACAAUGUAAGCGGCUGAGCGAAAGCGUUAAGUAAUCCACCUGGGGAGUACGUUCGCAAGAAUGAAACUCAAAUGAAUUGACGGGG
Molecule: ribosomal RNA, 393 nt
Filed under: uncultured bacterium
Lineage: Bacteria
Description: partial 16S ribosomal RNA
Rfam family: Bacterial small subunit ribosomal RNA
Source: RNAcentral